UACGAAGGGGGCUAGCGUUGUUCGGAAUCACUGGGCGUAAAGCGCGUGUAGGCGGCUUUGCAAGUCGGGUGUGAAAGCCCUCAGCUCAACUGAGGAAGUGCGCCCGAAACUGCAGAGCUUGAGUACCGGAGAGGAUGGUGGAAUUCCCCAAGUAGAGGUGAAAUUCGUAGAUAUGGGGAGGAACACCGGUGGCGAAGGCGACCAUCUGGACGGAUACUGACGCUGAGACGCGAAAGCGUGGGUAGCAAACAGG
This 253-nucleotide ribosomal RNA is filed under the name uncultured bacterium. RNAcentral describes it as "partial 16S ribosomal RNA". It matches the Rfam family "Bacterial small subunit ribosomal RNA", at positions 524 to 776 of the family's 1533-position model. The record is from RNAcentral.